CUUUUGCUGGCGACCGGCGCACGGGUGAGUAACACGUAUCCAACCUGCCCUUUACUCGGGGAUAGCCUUUCGAAAGAAAGAUUAAUACCCGAUAGCAUAAUGAUUCCGCAUGGUUUCUAUUAUUAAAGGAUUCCGGUAAAGGAUGGGGAUGCGUUCCAUUAGGUUGUUGGUGAGGUAACGGCUCACCAAGCCUUCGAUGGAUAGGGGUUCUGAGAGGAAGGUCCCCCACAUUGGAACUGAGACACGGUCCAA
This 252-nucleotide ribosomal RNA is filed under the name uncultured bacterium. Its description in RNAcentral is "partial 16S ribosomal RNA". It matches the Rfam family "Bacterial small subunit ribosomal RNA", at positions 78 to 334 of the family's 1533-position model. The record is from RNAcentral.